RNAcentral lists this ribosomal RNA (1547 nucleotides) under Leptospironympha sp. 1 PJK-2009. RNAcentral describes it as "SSU rRNA". It matches the Rfam family "Eukaryotic small subunit ribosomal RNA". The record is from RNAcentral. Lineage: Eukaryota; Parabasalia; Trichonymphida; Spirotrichosomidae.
AAGGAAGCACACUUCGGUCAUAGAUUAAGCCAUGCAAGUCUCAGUUCAGGUAGCAAUACUGCGUAAAGCUCAUUAAUACACCCAGUACCUAUUUGACAGCGAUCAUUCGAUCUUACAUGCAUAGCAGCAGUAAUUCUGGUGCUAAUACAUGCGAUUGUCACACCUGAAUUGAUGCAAGGUGUCAAAGUUGACCUCACACGAGGCAUGUCAUAUGGUUGGGUGGCCUAUCAGCUAGUAAUUAGGGUCUUGACCUAGUUAGGCUAUAACGGGUAACGGGCGGUGAUCGUCGGACUGCCGGAGAAGGAGCCUGAGAGACAGCUACUAUCCCUACGGGAAGCAGCAGGCGCGAAACUUACCCAUUCGACAUUGUCGGAGGUGGUAAUGACCAGUUUCAUGCUGAACUUCGGUUCGUUGUGAAUAGAGUGAUACAUUGAACACAUCACGCAAUCUAGCAGAGGGCCAGUCUGGUGCCAGCAGCUGCGGUAAUUCCAGCUCUGCGAGUUUGCUCCCAUAUUGUUGCAGUUAAAAAGCCCGUAGUCUGAGGUCGGUUUGAUCAGGUCUACACACCGUCCAUUGCGAAUAAAUCAGUCUGCUUAGAGUUGCCACUAGGUGAAUGAUUAUGCGCAGUAUGGAACUUUUACCCUGCCUCGUGUAAGGUAAGUUCAAUGAGAGCCAUUGGGGGUAGUCAUAUUCUGUGGCGAGUGGUGGAAUACUUUGACCCAUGGGAGAUGAACGAAAGCGAAAGCAGCUACCUAGAGGGUUUCUGUCGAUCAAGGGCGAGAGUAGGGGUAGCGAACCGGAUUAGAGACCCGGGUAGUCCCUACUGUAAACAAUGUCGACGAGGGAUUGGUGUCAUUUUGGCAUCAGCACCCUAUCGAGAAAUCAUAGUUCUUGGACUCUGGGGGAACUACGAUCGCAAGACUGAAACUUGAAGGAAUUGACGGAAGGGCACACAAGGGGUGGAGCCUGUGGCUCAAUUUGAAUCAACACGGGGAAACUUACUAGAGCAAGAUGAUUAUGGUGACUGACAGUCUGCAGGGCUUUCAGGAUAUGUUUUUGGGUGGUGCAUGGCCGUUGGUGGUGCGUGGGUUGACCUGUCUAGCGUUGAUUCAGUUAACGAGCGAGAUUACCGCCGAUUACUCUAGGAGGCUGGAAUUACUCUCCUUCUUUUCCUUCUAAUCGGGACUGCCUGGUCAUUAACAGGAGGAAGGGGGUAGCAAUAACAGGUCCGUGAUGUCCUUUAGAUGCUCUAGGCUGCACGCGUGCUACAAUGUGUCUGUCAAUAGGUGUUUAGCAACCUUGAGAAAGUUAGCUACUCCUUUAAAUCAAAUACGUGGUUAGGAUUGGUCAUUGGAAUCAUGAACAUGAAUUAGGAAUCCCUUGUAAAUGUGCGUCAACAUCACACGUUGAAUACGUCCCUGCCCUUUGUACACACCGCCCGUCGCUCCUACCGAUUGGAUGACCUGGUGAAAAUAUCGGACUCCUUUACUGGGGAAAGGUAUUUAAAUCAUGUUAUCUAGAGGAAGGAGAAGUCGUAACAAGGUAAC